CGUGACGUGCCUGCCGCGGGGGACCCGGGCCAAGGCGGCCCGGCGUGUCCCCCGCUCCCGCCCCUGCCGCAGCCUCCCCGCCGCCCGCCAUCCGUGGCGCGGGUUCCGGCCCCGUCUAUACUAGGGCAGACGGGCCGUGCGUGAGCGGAGGGAGAACGUGCGGGUUGCUGUGGGGCAGAAAAGGCCAUUACAGCAAGGCACGAGACACCAGCCCGCUGGACCGUGCAGUGAAGUGGGGCUAUCGAGAAGCCCUCCCAGGCCCAAGGGCCGCGUAGAAGCGAGCAUCCGCGGAAGGAGAGUGGAGGGAAGCUCGGAGAGUUGUUGGCAGCAGGAGGGAUGGCGUGGGGGGAGGGACUCGGGGAUUUGUCAGAGCAGUAGGGUGCAUGCUCCCAUAUCCUCCCGGCUGUCCCACCGCUAGGCCUGCUUGUUCCCCAGCAGCAUUUUCCUUCCUUUAAUAAGGCAGUUCCAGCUGCCUCACCGGGCAUCUUUCCACCUUCUUUUAUUGAAGAUGCACUUGACGCUGUAGCCUGACAAAUAGCAGAUGAAGUCAUAUUCUGCAACUGUACUGUUUGGUGCUUCUUUAUUGUGCUCCAGAGACUUGAGUUGCCAUAAGGGCAGGGGAAGCACUGCAAAGGGCAGAGAUGGAUGGGUGGAAGAAUGUUCCUUAAUCAAUUAUAUGGAAACUGGAACAAUUUCAGAAUAAUCACCUAGGGUGCCUGAUAAGGUUCUGUUAGUCUGUAUCCGCAAAAAGAAAAGGAGUACUUGUGGUACCUUACAGACUUAACAAAUUUAUUUGAGCGUGAGCUACAGCUCACUUCAUCGGAUGACUUUCCUGGCAAAGCAGCACGUUGAGGUAGCCUGCAUAGGUAAUGUUAGGAGAGGGAGGGGAACAACAAUCCGAUAUCUGAUCAUUGAAUGUACUAUUUGCAUAUUUAAAACUUCUCUUUCUUUCUGUGGAGCACUCUUCAAAAAAAAAAAAAAAAACUUCAGGUGCAGUAAGCACAUUACCUGGAUGUUAAUGAUUAAGAAAAUAGUUAAUAUUGACAUGUAAAUGGUUGUGAUUAAUGUAGGAUAAAUAUGAAAUUAACUAAAUUAAAUUUAGCUUAAGUUUGGUAAAGGAAGGCCCUGACUAGCAAGGACGACUACGACCUUGAAAAUAAUGAGUAAAGACAGGAUGUCUUCUUCAAAAAAUAACUAAGAUAAGAGGAAGUUUCUAAAAAGAAGCCCUCUGACCAAUAGGGGUGACUGCAUAUGGUUUUAAAUAAGAUAAAAGGAGUACGUCUUAAAAGGAGCCAGUAUAAACCUUCCCACCCCAAAUACCAGUGUUAUCUUAAAAAUAAAGCCUAUGUGAACAAAGGUACAAUGGAAAAACGGUUGGUAAGCAAGAAGGAGGGGAGGAAAAACCUGGGAAGAAAGGAGGUUGUAAAUCUUAUCUAACUUAAAAGUGGAACUAAAAGUGACCUGUCUCAAAUUGGUUUUUAGCUGAAGUCAGUAAUUAGCAGUGAUAUCAUUUGUUUGUUAAAGGGUAUAAAAUAUUCAGAAGUGGAGGGGUCUUUGUCAGACCCUACCUUAUCAUGGGCACACCAGAAUUAGAUGGUUUUCCCUAGGUCUGGCCUAUUUGUAAGCGUCUUGAUAGCGUGCUUAUGAAUACUUUGUUGUUGAAUGUAGUGACUGCUUAUUUUUAGGCUGUUAGGCAUAUUUAGAGCAAUUGUAUAAAAUACCAUUUGGCCUUGGAUUUAAUAAAGGAAUUUAUGGUUAAAAUAG
Molecule: long non-coding RNA, 1764 nt
Organism: Dermochelys coriacea (leatherback sea turtle)
Lineage: Eukaryota; Metazoa; Chordata; Testudines; Dermochelyidae
Exons: 2
Source: RefSeq, a predicted model, not a curated record